CAAGUUAGAGCUUGAAUAAGUGUUUUAUUUACAUUAAAAUGAUAGUUUUAUAUAAACUUAACUUGA
This 66-nucleotide transfer RNA is filed under the name Palaestes nicaraguae. Its description in RNAcentral is "tRNA-Val". The record is from RNAcentral. Lineage: Eukaryota; Metazoa; Arthropoda; Insecta; Coleoptera; Cucujidae.